Molecule: ribosomal RNA, 668 nt
Filed under: Xenophrys awuh (Naga Hills horned frog)
Lineage: Eukaryota; Metazoa; Chordata; Amphibia; Anura; Megophryidae
Description: partial large subunit ribosomal RNA
Rfam family: Archaeal large subunit ribosomal RNA (bases 255-504)
Source: RNAcentral
AGCGUCAAAGCUUUCCUACCGUCUUCUCUAAUUUCUUAAAUUUUACGGAGCCCGAUAGUAUUAUUGAGUCCUUCUAUACCCCUAUAGAAGUGUUUAUGUUAAAACUAGUAACACAGAAUUACUUCUCUCUAUGUGAGUGUAAAUCAAACUGAAUAAAUCACUGAUAAUUACUCAGUAAUGAAGCCACUGUAGCAACCUCGCUAGAAAACCCUACAACCUCCGCACUGUUAACCUAACACAAGAACAUUAAAGAAAGAUUAAAAGAUAAGGAAGGAACUCGGCAAAUCUAAGUCCCGCCUGUUUACCAAAAACAUCGCCUUUUGCUUACUAUAUUAGGUAAUGCCUGCCCAGUGACCAUGUGUUCAACGGCCGCGGUAUUCUGACCGCGCGAAGGUAGCGUAAUCACUUGUCUUCUAAAUAAAGACCAGUAUGAACGGCUUCACGAGGACUUGACUGUCUCCCUUAUCCAAUCAGUUAAACUAAUCCCCUCGUGCAGAAGCGAGAAUAAACCCAUUAGACGAGAAGACCCUAUGGAGCUUUAAACUUAAUAUUAAUUAUUGUUACCACCUCUUAACGAGAAGCAAGCAAAUAAAAUUUUAACUUAAUUUAAGUUUUGGGUUGGGGCGACCAUGGAGGAAAAAGAAUCCUCCCUGAUGACUUUUAAUUAA